GUCAUCUUGGAAGUCCAUGUCUUUUCUUUACCCCCUAGUCUGGAGGAGUGUCCUCGGUUGCUGUCACCUAUAAUCAGCUGCAGGCUGGCAGCCGCUAUGAAGCCCUCUUGUCGCCGACUCAGAUUUUUCACCAGCCUGAAGGAUGAAAAUUGGAUGACGUCUCCACAUUUGAUGGUGAUGCUGUCUGGUCCAUUUUGAAGGCAAUCAGCCAAAGCCCUGUAUCUCCCUGGAGACUAACACAAAAGGAAAACUGUCAAUCACAAAUUGCACCAACACUUCCUCCUCCGUGUCAGACGGGUGGAAAGCGUCCCGACCUCCAGGCCACUCCUCCAGACCCUCGCAGAUGUCUACUGAGUGAUGAGCUCCGGGCCAACCUUGGACACAGACAUUAAUAUGACUGUUACAGGGGAGUGAGGCUGGGGGUCUGGACUGCUCUUCCCCGACUCAGUGUCCUCUGAGCUCACUGACGCCCUCUGCUGCUUGCUAGAGAGUGGCGGAGAGAGCUGCAUGUGUUCAACCAUUUGGCCAUGAUGAUAUGCUUCAUCUGUGACAAGAGGAACAACAAGACCUCUGAGCAUCUUCUGCUGGUUAGUUAGGAUUCUACGCAGCUCAUUGAGCCAAGCUGUCUUCACUUCCAGCGUAGGAGCCUGAGAGACAACAGAAACAUCGCGACAGGCUAAACAAGACGGCCCGUUUUAUUCCUGUCUCGCUGUGAUAUCUCUGUCUACAAGAUCUGCUGCUGACCAAACACAGCUCUCUGUCUAACCUUGAGCAGCAGCUGGUAUUUGGUGAGGCGUUGGACUGGUUUCAACAGGAAACAAGCGCCCACACCUUCAGGAGCCUCCAAGCAUCCCUCCAGGUCCUGAAGGAAGACCCUGGAAUCCCAGAAAGGUCAAAGGUCAAAGGCCAAGAAUUACAUCUCAAAGCCACACAUCAACCUCAGUGCAUAAAGUGGCACAUACAAGGGGUUUCGCUACAGAACUCACUGUGACUAGCACUUAAUUUCUUUUAGUAACAGUUAUAACAGCUAGAAUCGUGACAAGAGCAGUGGACACAACACAAAAAACUCAACACGUAUAUUGUACAUGCUGACAACUACAUAACAAUUUUUUUUCUACAUGUAUGAGGAGCUAUAAGCACUGGUGGCCAAUUAGAGCACAAUGUUAUUUUUAAAAAUUUCUUACAAACCAUCAACAACAGUACUAGUGUCAAUAAAAUUCUUGUUCUAACUCUA
Molecule: long non-coding RNA, 1234 nt
Organism: Lates calcarifer (barramundi perch)
Lineage: Eukaryota; Metazoa; Chordata; Actinopteri; Centropomidae
Exons: 9
Source: RefSeq, a predicted model, not a curated record